UGACAAGCAACAGCCGAAAAGUGUUUAUUUUUCCCAGCUCCACUAAACGUCUCAGCAAGGUCGGUUUUGUGUCGACUCGGCUUGCCAACUUUCGAGUCUUUGAGCGUAGCGACACCAGCAUCUUUCAGGCGUUGGAAAAACAGAAGGUCGGAGAAACUCAGUCGAAUCGGGCUGAAAUGGUUCUCCCCAGUCGAUGCUUUGGCCCGGAAAUACCUGAAGGCUUACGUAUGACUCUGAAGACUCUGAGGACCAUGGGUCUGAAGCUGGGAACACAGUAUGUAUUUAUCCGAAUGGUUUGGGCAUCAGUGCGAGCAAGAUGUCUUCAAGUGGGCUUACAAGCAUUGAUGCCAAGAAGGGACUCCUCCUCCUCAAGGUCUACCAGUCCGGUCCAGUUGGACGGAGAAUGGUCACUAUCACCUGAGGAUCCCAGAGCGAGAAGGAGCUGGAAACGUGGUGGGUGGUGAGUCCUGCUGUGGAAAAUGUGGACUCCAGGCUUGUUCCCUCCGCAGUCCAGGCGAGGGAGGCUGACCGGGUAGCGGACGCUGCCGUCGGAGAGCCAACCCGGGGCGCAGCUAUCCAGGCCGGCCUUCCAUGCCAGAUAAAGCUGCCCCAUAGUGGCCAGCUGGCCCCCCAGGGACACGCAUCGGUCUGAUGCUGAAGACAGAGACAACCUGCCAGGAACCGAGGCGUGAAACACUUCGCCUACAGGCCGGAAAUAGAAUAGAAAGACAGAUCGACACUAGACAGGAGCUCAUUUAAUACCUGCAUUCAAAAGGUUUGACACAGUAAGGGGGGAAGAAAAACAUGUUUCUUAUACUUUUUUACCAAUUGUCCCUGUUGAGGCACAAAUAGUGGACUAUUUUUAGCAGCACGUUGAACAGCAAGCGCCGCAGUAGCAGGAAG
Phyllopteryx taeniolatus (common seadragon) is the source of this 903-nucleotide long non-coding RNA. RefSeq lists it as uncharacterized. NCBI's taxonomy places the organism in Eukaryota, Metazoa, Chordata, Actinopteri, Syngnathiformes, Syngnathidae. The record is from RefSeq and is a predicted model, not a curated record. The transcript is spliced from 4 exons.